This 668-nucleotide ribosomal RNA is filed under the name uncultured Bacteroidales bacterium. RNAcentral's name for it is "bacterial SSU rRNA". It matches the Rfam family "Bacterial small subunit ribosomal RNA", at positions 73 to 738 of the family's 1533-position model. The record is from RNAcentral. Lineage: Bacteria; Pseudomonadati; Bacteroidota; Bacteroidia; Bacteroidales.
UCAAAGCUUGCUUUGAUGGAUGGCGACCGGCGCACGGGUGAGUAACACGUAUCCAACCUGCCGACAACACUGGGAUAGCCUUUCGAAAGAAAGAUUAAUACCGGAUGGCAUAGUUUUCCCGCAUGGGAUAAUUAUUAAAGAAUUUCGGUUGUCGAUGGGGAUGCGUUCCAUUAGGCAGUUGGCGGGGUAACGGCCCACCAAACCAACGAUGGAUAGGGGUUCUGAGAGGAAGGUCCCCCACAUUGGAACUGAGACACGGUCCAAACUCCUACGGGAGGCAGCAGUGAGGAAUAUUGGUCAAUGGACGAGAGUCUGAACCAGCCAAGUAGCGUGAAGGAUGACUGCCCUAUGGGUUGUAAACUUCUUUUAUACGGGAAUAAAGUGAGCCACGUGUGGCUUUUUGUAUGUACCGUAUGAAUAAGGAUCGGCUAACUCCGUGUCAGCAGCCGCGGUAAUACGGAGGAUCCGAGCGUUAUCCGGAUUUAUUGGGUUUAAAGGGAGCGUAGGCGGGUUGUUAAGUCAGUUGUGAAGUUUGCGGCUCAACCGUAAAAUUGCAGUUGAUACUGGCGACCUUGAGUGCAACAGAGGUAGGCGGAAUUCGUGGUGUAGCGGUGAAUGCUUAGAUAUCACGAAGAACUCCGAUUGCGAAGGCAGCUUACUGGAUUGUA